GAUUAUGACUGAACGCCU
RNAcentral lists this non-coding RNA (18 nucleotides) under Arabidopsis thaliana (thale cress). Lineage: Eukaryota; Viridiplantae; Streptophyta; Magnoliopsida; Brassicales; Brassicaceae. The record is from RNAcentral. RNAcentral also lists the same sequence under 1 other name.